Molecule: long non-coding RNA, 420 nt
Organism: Lathyrus oleraceus (garden pea)
Lineage: Eukaryota; Viridiplantae; Streptophyta; Magnoliopsida; Fabales; Fabaceae
Exons: 2
Source: RefSeq, a predicted model, not a curated record
GCAAGCAAUUUUCCAAGCUCUUCAUCAUUCCUCACUGCCAACAACAAAUGUCUUGGACUAAUCCUGUUCUUCUUGUUAUCACGUGCCGCAUUUCCAGCCAACUCAAGAACCUUCACGCAAACAAAUUUCAAAAUUAGGGUUCAGAUUCAAUUUACAAAGUUCAAACUCCAUAGCAAUGAAAAAACGAAACUGAAAAGGAAAGAUGAGUUAAUUUACCUCAGCAGCAAGAUACUCGAGAACAGCGGCUAGGUAAACAGGAGCACCAGUACCAACGCGCUGAGCAUAUCUACCUUUCUUCAAGAAACGGCCGACUCUUCCGACGGGAAAUUGAAGUCCAGCUCUGACGGAUCUUGUGACGGACUUCUUCCUUGGUCCUCCUCCUUUCCUUCCGGCAGCUCCCACCAUUUUGAAAUUCAAAAA